GAUGAACGCUGGCGGCGUGCCUAAUACAUGCAAGUCGAGCGAACAGACGAGGAGCUUGCUCCUCUGACGUUAGCGGCGGACGGGUGAGUAACACGUGGAUAACCUACCUAUAAGACUGGGAUAACUUCGGGAAACCGGAGCUAAUACCGGAUAAUAUAUUGAACCGCAUGGUUCAAUAGUGAAAGACGGUUUUGCUGUCACUUAUAGAUGGAUCCGCGCCGCAUUAGCUAGUUGGUAAGGUAACGGCUUACCAAGGCGACGAUGCGUAGCCGACCUGAGAGGGUGAUCGGCCACACUGGAACUGAGACACGGUCCAGACUCCGACGGGAGGCAGCAGUAGGGAAUCUUCCGCAAUGGGCGAAAGCCUGACGGAGCAACGCUGCGUGAGUGAUGAAGGUCUUCGGAUCGUAAAACUCUGUUAUUAGGGAAGAACAAAUGUGUAAGUAACUAUGCACGUCUUGACGGUACCGAAUCAGAAAGCCACGGCUAACUACGU
Molecule: ribosomal RNA, 496 nt
Filed under: uncultured bacterium
Lineage: Bacteria
Description: partial 16S ribosomal RNA
Rfam family: Bacterial small subunit ribosomal RNA
Source: RNAcentral